UUGAAUUGAAGUCAAAAAGCGACAAGUUAUUGUUAAUAACUUAAUUGAAAUUACUUUUCCUUUUCA
Molecule: transfer RNA, 66 nt
Filed under: Anoeconeossa unicornuta
Lineage: Eukaryota; Metazoa; Arthropoda; Insecta; Hemiptera; Aphalaridae
Description: tRNA-Asn
Source: RNAcentral